Molecule: ribosomal RNA, 465 nt
Filed under: Vreelandella stevensii
Lineage: Bacteria; Pseudomonadati; Pseudomonadota; Gammaproteobacteria; Oceanospirillales; Halomonadaceae
Description: partial 16S ribosomal RNA
Rfam family: Bacterial small subunit ribosomal RNA
Source: RNAcentral
CCUACGGGGUGCAGCAGUGGGGAAUAUUGGACAAUGGGCGAAAGCCUGAUCCAGCCAUGCCGCGUGUAUGAAGAAGGCCUUCGGGUUGUAAAGCACUUUCAGUGGGGAAGAAAGCCUUGGGGCUAAUACCCUCGAGGAAGGACAUCACCCACAGAAGAAGCACCGGCUAACUCCGUGCCAGCAGCCGCGGUAAUACGGAGGGUGCGAGCGUUAAUCGGAAUUACUGGGCGUAAAGCGCGCGUAGGCGGUCUGAUAAGCCGGUUGUGAAAGCCCCGGGCUCAACCUGGGAACGGCAUCCGGAACUGUCAGGCUAGAGUGCAGGAGAGGAAGGUAGAAUUCCCGGUGUAGCGGUGAAAUGCGUAGAGAUCGGGAGGAAUACCAGUGGCGAAGGCGGCCUUCUGGACUGACACUGACGCUGAGGUGCGAAAGCGUGGGUAGCAAACAGGAUUAGAUACCCCAGUAGUC